RNAcentral lists this long non-coding RNA (1086 nucleotides) under Piliocolobus tephrosceles (Ugandan red Colobus). RNAcentral's name for it is "lncRNA (ENSPTEG00000005840.1)". The record is from RNAcentral. Lineage: Eukaryota; Metazoa; Chordata; Mammalia; Primates; Cercopithecidae.
AUGGACAUACGUGCGCAGUUUUUCAGUUCAUCAAUAGUAGUUCUAAGUGUUUUACUAUGUAAAAUUAAAUCCUUAACAUCGUUUCUUAGUUUAUCAUUUUCGUUUUUUAGUUUAUCAUUUUCGUUUUUUAGUUUAUCAUUUUCGUUUUUUAGUUUAUCAUUUUCGUUUUUAAAUUUGUCAUUCUCGUUUUUCAGUUUGUCAUUCUCGUUUUUCAGUUUGUCAUUCUCGUUUUUUAGUUUGUCAUUCUCGUUUUUUAGUUUGUCUUUAUCAUUUUUUAGUUUGUCAUUCUCGUUUUUCAGUUUGUCAUUCUCGUUUUUUAGUUUGUCUUUAUCAUUUUUUAAUAUAUAAUUUUCACUACUUAACUUCCCAUUUUCGCUACUUAACUUUCCAUUUUCGUUUUUUAGUUUAUCAUUUUCGUUUUUAAAUUUGUCAUUCUCGUUUUUCAGUUUGUCAUUCUCGUUUUUUAGUUUGUCUUUAUCAUUUUUUAAUAUAUAAUUUUCACUAUUUAACUUCCCAUUUUCACUACUUAACUUCCCAUUUUNNNNNNNNNNCACUAUUUAACUUCCCAUUUUCACUACUUAACUUCCCAUUUUCACUACUUAACUUGCCAUUCUCGUUUUUUAGUUUAUCAUUUUCGUUUUUUAGCUUCUCGUUAUCGCCAUUCAACCGGUUAUUAUAAUUUUUUAAUUCGUCAUUAGUUUGUUUUAAAUUAGUAGUUUCAUUCUCUAAAGUACUAAUAUUUUUUUGAAGUUUAUCCACUACACUUUUAAAAUUAUAACGUUCUGUUUCUGAAAUUUCUUUUUCCUUUCUUAAAUUAUUAUUGUCAUUGCUAAGUCGAUUAAUCUCAUUACUUAAAUGUACUAACAGCGUAUUAAUUUCGUUUUUAUUUAAUCCUUCUAUUUCUUCCAGACGUAAAGCACUAAUGCUUGUUUUUUGUGUAUCGUCUGACAUUUGUUUUAGUUUAAUAUCAAUUGUUUUGUGUAUUUUUUGUAUUUCUUCUACAUUUUCACUGUUUGAUGAAGGUAAAACAUUUAAAUGUGUAUGAUUAUCUUUUAUAUACAAAUCGUUUUUUUUUGUACUCGCAUG